This 499-nucleotide ribosomal RNA is filed under the name uncultured bacterium. Its description in RNAcentral is "partial 16S ribosomal RNA". It matches the Rfam family "Bacterial small subunit ribosomal RNA", at positions 28 to 507 of the family's 1533-position model. The record is from RNAcentral.
GACGAACGCUGGCGGCGUGCUUAACACAUGCAAGUCGAACGGGCCCGCUCUCUUUUUUGGGGGUGGGUUGAGUGGCGAACGGGUGAGUAUCACGUGAGUAACCUGCCCCCUGCUCCUGGAUAACUGCUUGAAAGGGCGGCUAAUACGGGGUGUGCCGGCUGGUCCGCAUGGGCCUGGGCGGGAUAGUUUCAUCUUCGGGUGUUUCGGUGGGGGAUGGGCUCGCGGCCUAUCAGCUUGUUGGUGGGGUGAUGGCCCACCAAGGCGGUGACGGGUAGCCGGCCUGAGAGGGUGGGCGGCCACACUGGGACUGAGACACGGCCCAGACGCCUGCGGGAGGCAGCAGUGGGGGGUAGUGCACAAUGGGCGGAAGCCUGAGGCAGCGACGUCGCGUGAGGGAUGGAGGCCGUCGGGUGGUGAACCUCUUUCUCCGGUGGUGAAGGCCCUGUCCGUUGCGGCGGGGUUGACGGUAGCCGGGUAUGAAGCGCCGGCUAACUACGUG